This 440-nucleotide ribosomal RNA is filed under the name uncultured bacterium. Its description in RNAcentral is "partial 16S ribosomal RNA". It matches the Rfam family "Bacterial small subunit ribosomal RNA", at positions 338 to 795 of the family's 1533-position model. The record is from RNAcentral.
CCUACGGGGUGCAGCAGUGGGGGAUAUUGCACAAUGGGGGAAACCCUGAUGCAGCGACGCCGCGUGUGGGAAGACGGUCCUCUGGAUUGUAAACCACUGUCCCCAGGGACGAAGAUGACGGUACCUGGGGCGGAAGCUCCGGCUAACUACGUGCCAGCAGCCGCGGUAAUACGUAGGGAGCAAGCGUUGUCCGGAAUUACGGGGGGUAAGGGGAGCGUAGGCGGGAUGGCAAGUUGGGUGUUAAAUCUACCGGCUCAACUGGUAGUCGCACACAAUACUGCUAGUCUUGAGUGAAGUAGAGGCAGGCAGAAUUCCUGGUGUAGCGGUGAAAUGCGUAGAGAUUAGGAGGAACACCAGUGGCGAAGGCGGCCUGCUGGGCUUUUACUGACGCUGAGGCUCGAAAGUGUGGGGAGCAAACAGGAUUAGAUACUCGAGUAGUC